GAUGAACGCUGGCGGUAUGCUUAACACAUGCAAGCCGAACGGACUCUUCGGAGUUAGUGGCGGACGGGUGAGUAACGCGUGAGAAUCUGGCUUUGGGUUUGGGACAACCACUGGAAACGGUUGCUAAUACCGGAUGUGCCGAGAGGUAAAAGAGGAAUUGCCUGAAGAUGAGCUCGCGUCUGAUUAGCUAGUUGGUGAGGUAAAGGCUCACCAAGGCAGCGUUAAGUGUCUGGUCUGAGAGGAUGACCGGCCACACUGGGAAUGGGACACAGCCCAGACUCCUCCGGGGGGGAGGGGGGGGGAAUUUUCCGGAAAGGGCGAAAGCCUGACGGAGGAAUUCCGCGUGGAGGAAGAAGGCUCUUGGGUUGUAAACCUCUUUUCUUAAGGAAGAACAAAAAUGACGGUACCUAAGGAAUCAGCAUCGGCUAACUCCGU
Molecule: ribosomal RNA, 435 nt
Filed under: uncultured bacterium
Lineage: Bacteria
Description: partial 16S ribosomal RNA
Rfam family: Bacterial small subunit ribosomal RNA
Source: RNAcentral